Molecule: ribosomal RNA, 207 nt
Filed under: uncultured bacterium
Lineage: Bacteria
Description: partial 16S ribosomal RNA
Rfam family: Bacterial small subunit ribosomal RNA
Source: RNAcentral
AGCGCAGGCGGACCGGCAAGUUGGAAGUGAAAACUAUGGGCUCAACCCAUAAAUUGCUUUCAAAACUGCUGGCCUUGAGUAGUGCAGAGGUAGGUGGAAUUCCCGGUGUAGCGGUGGAAUGCGUAGAUAUCGGGAGGAACACCAGUGGCGAAGGCGGUCUACUGGGCACCAACUGACGCUGAGGUGCGAAAGCGUGGGGAGCGAACA